Molecule: ribosomal RNA, 511 nt
Filed under: uncultured bacterium
Lineage: Bacteria
Description: bacterial SSU rRNA
Rfam family: Bacterial small subunit ribosomal RNA
Source: RNAcentral
GAUGAACGCUGGCGGCGUGCCUCAAACAUGCAAGUCGAGCGGGGCUAUGUAAUAUCGCAAGGUAGAACAUAGCCUAGCGGCGAACGGGUGAGUAACACGUGGGUAACCUGCCUGGAAGACAGGGAUAACGAUUCGAAAGGGUCGCUAAUACCUGAUAAUAUCCUUUCAUCGCAUGGUGAUAGGAAGAAAGGGGAAACCCGCUUUCAGAUGGGCCCGCGUCCCAUCAGCUAGUUGGUAAGGUAAAGGCUUACCAAGGCGACGACGGGUAGCCGGUCUGAGAGGAUGUACGGCCACACUGGGACUGAGAUACGGCCCAGACUCCUACGGGAGGCAGCAGUGGGGAAUUUUGGACAAUGGGCGAAAGCCUGAUCCAGCCAUGCCGCGUGCAGGAAGAAGGCCUCGGUUGUAACUAGCUUAGUCUAGAAAAGGGUAGGCGAGGUAAGUACCUCGUGCUUGUAUGGUACUGGAAGAAUAAGACACCGGCGUAACUAACGUGCCAGCAGCCGCCGGU